Molecule: ribosomal RNA, 1470 nt
Filed under: Triticum aestivum (bread wheat)
Lineage: Eukaryota; Viridiplantae; Streptophyta; Magnoliopsida; Poales; Poaceae
Description: partial small subunit ribosomal RNA
Source: RNAcentral
AUGGCGAGGCUCGAGGCGGCGGCGCUGCUGCUGGCCGCGGCGGCGGCUGCGCUGUUGGCCACGGCGGCGGAGGGGCUGGGCGUGAACUGGGGCACGCAGGCGUCGCACCCGCUGCCGCCCAAGGUGGUGGUGCAGCUGCUCAAGGACAACGGCAUCAACAAGGUGAAGCUCUUCGAGACCAACCCGGAGGCCAUGAAGGCGCUCGCCGGCAGCGGGGUCGAGGUCAUGCUCGCCAUCCCCAACGACAUGCUCCACCGCAUCGCCGGCGACUCGGCCGCCGCCAGGGACUGGGUCAAGCGCAACGUCAAGCGCUUCGACUUCGACGGCGGCGUCGUCAUCAAGUACGUGGCUGUGGGCAACGAGCCAUUCUUGGCAGCGUACAAGGGGUCGUUCAUGAAGGUCACCUUGCCGGCGCUGGAGAACAUCCAGAACGCGCUCAACGACGCCGGCGUCGGCGACCGGAUCAAGGCGACGGUCCCUCUCAACGCCGACGUGUACAACUCCCCGGCCAGGAACCCCGUGCCGUCGGCGGGCCGGUUCCGCGCCGAGAUCUCCGGCGUCAUGACGGACAUGGUCAAGUUCCUGGCCAAGAACAAGGCGCCCUUCACCGUCAACAUCUACCCCUUCCUCAGCCUCUACCUCGACGACAACUUCCCCCUGGACUUCGCCUUCUUCGACGGCGGGGCGACGCCGGUGAACGACAACGGUGUGAUGUACACCAACGUGUACGACGCCAACUUCGACACGCUGGUCGCGGCGCUGGCGGCAGUGGGGCACGGCGACAUGCCGAUCAUUGUCGGCGAGGUGGGGUGGCCCACGGACGGCGACAGGCACGCCAAGGCGUCCUAUGCGCGGCGCUUCUAUGACGGGCUGUUGAAGCGGCUGGCGGCGAACCGCGGCACGCCGGCGAGGCCGAACCGGCACAUCGAGACGUACCUGUUCGGGGUGGUGGACGAGGACCGGAAGAGCGUGCAGCCAGGCAGCUUCGAGCGGCACUGGGGCAUCUUCCGGUACGACGGGCAGCCCAAGUUCGCCAUGGACCUCAGCGGGCAGGGCCGAAACACAAUGCUGGUGCCGGCCAAGGGCGUGCAGUACCUGUCCAGAACGUGGUGCGCGCUCAACCCCAAGGCCAGCAGGGACGAUCUCAACAAGCUCCUCGGCGCCAAGAUCGACUACGCGUGCAGCAACGCGGACUGCACGACGCUGGGGUACGGCUCGUCGUGCAACGGCAUGGACGCCAGGGGCAACGCCUCCUACGCCUUCAACGCCUACUACCAGACGCAGAGCCAGGAGGACGAGGCCUGUGACUUCCAGGGCCUCGCGCUGCCCACCCAGACGGAUCCCUCCACGGCGACGUGCAACUUCACCAUCCAGAUAGCCACCUCGGGGGCGGCGGCAGCAACGCAGCUCGGCGUGGCGCCGGCGGCUGCCGCCCUGCUGGUGGCGUUGCUCCAGCUCUCACUGUUGUAG